GAUGAACGCUGGCGGUGUGCCUAAUACAUGCAAGUCGAGCGAACAGACGAGGAGCUUACUCCUCUGACGUUAGCGGCGGACGGGUGAGUAACACGUGGAUAACCUACCUAUAAGACUGGGAUAACUUCGGGAAACCGGAGCUAAUACCGGAUAACAUGUUGAACCGCAUGGUUCAACAGUGAAAGACGGUCUUGCUGUCACUUAUAGAUGGAUCCGCGUCGCAUUAGCUAGUUGGUAAGGUAACGGCUUACCAAGGCAACGAUGCGUAGCCGACCUGAGAGGGUGAUCGGCCACACUGGGACUGAGACACGGUCCAGACUCCUACGGGAGGCAGCAGUAGGGAAUCUUCCGCAAUGGGCGAAAGCCUGACGGAGCAACGCCGCGUGAGUGCAGAAGGUCUUCGGAUCGUAAAACCCUGUUAUUAGGGAAGAACAAAUGUGUAAGUAACUAUGCACGUCUUGACGGUACCUAAUCAGAAAGCCACGGCUAACUACGUG
RNAcentral lists this ribosomal RNA (497 nucleotides) under uncultured bacterium. RNAcentral's name for it is "partial 16S ribosomal RNA". It matches the Rfam family "Bacterial small subunit ribosomal RNA", at positions 28 to 507 of the family's 1533-position model. The record is from RNAcentral.